RNAcentral lists this ribosomal RNA (378 nucleotides) under Triticum aestivum (bread wheat). Its description in RNAcentral is "partial small subunit ribosomal RNA". Lineage: Eukaryota; Viridiplantae; Streptophyta; Magnoliopsida; Poales; Poaceae. The record is from RNAcentral.
AUGGAAGGAUUAUUACAUUGCGAUUUUGCUCCUGGCCUUGCUUUGGCCAAUCAGGUGAGAAGAAAGUUUGGAUCAACAGUUCGUUUUUCUCCCUCUCGAGAUGCCAAAGAGUUCUUUUUGGUUGCGCCAUUCUCUUUGGACUCUUUUCCUCUCACGGUGGAUUCUAUUGGAGUUGCACUGCAAUGUUGCAUUGGAGGCAUUUGUUCUAGAUUUAGAGUGGUUCCCAUUUCCACACGAUCUUUUUGCUUUUCUGUGGCCAAUAACAAGGUGGGACACUUCAUAAAUGGGCUCAAGGGUCGUAUUUGGCCAGACUUUGUUUGCCAUUUCCACCUGUUUAAUGGACGUUUUACCAAAGCUCUUCACGUUGAUUCUCACUAG